Molecule: ribosomal RNA, 226 nt
Filed under: uncultured bacterium
Lineage: Bacteria
Description: partial 16S ribosomal RNA
Rfam family: Bacterial small subunit ribosomal RNA
Source: RNAcentral
GCGUUGUUCGGAAUUACUGGGCGUAAAGCGCGCGUAGGCGGCUUUGCAAGUUAGAGGUGAAAGCCCGAAGCUCAACUUCGGAAUUGCCUUUAAAACUGCAUCGCUAGAAUUGUGGAGAGGUGAGUGGAAUUCCGAGUGUAGAGGUGAAAUUCGUAGAUAUUCGGAAGAACACCAGUGGCGAAGGCGACUCACUGGACACAUAUUGACGCUGAGGUGCGAAAGCGUG